This 432-nucleotide ribosomal RNA is filed under the name uncultured bacterium. Its description in RNAcentral is "bacterial SSU rRNA". It matches the Rfam family "Bacterial small subunit ribosomal RNA", at positions 29 to 507 of the family's 1533-position model. The record is from RNAcentral.
AAUGAACGCUGGCGGCAUGCCUAACACAUGCAAGUCGAACGAAGCCUUCGGGCUUAGUGGCGCACGGGUGCGUAACGCGUGGGAAUCUGCCCUUGGGUUCGGAAUAACAGUGGGAAACUACUGCUAAUACCGAAUGAUGUCGUAAGACCAAAGAUUUAUCGCCCAGGGAUGAGCCCGCGUAGGAUUAGCUAGUUGGUGUGGUAAAGGCGCACCAAGGCGACGAUCCUUAGCUGGCUGAGAGGAUGAUCAGCCACACUGGGACUGAGACACGGCCCAGACUCCUACGGGAGGCAGCAGUGGGGAAUAUUGGACAAUGGGCGAAAGCCUGAUCCAGCAAUGCCGCGUGAGUGAUGAAGGCCUUAGGGUUGUAAAGCUCUUUUACCCGGGAUGAUAAUGACAGUACCGGGAGAAUAAGCUCCGGCUAACUCCGUG